This is a long non-coding RNA of Ictalurus punctatus (channel catfish), 1010 nucleotides long. The record is from Ensembl. NCBI's taxonomy places the organism in Eukaryota, Metazoa, Chordata, Actinopteri, Siluriformes, Ictaluridae.
GAGAGUUUUGCGGCACACUUUUGAGAGUUUGUUACUUUUAAUCAAUUUCUUAGUUCUUUUUUAAGAUUCAUGUAAAAAAAAAAAAAAAAAAAGAUUAAUCUUAGACAUAAAACUUCUUUGAGCGCCGACUUCGGUCGGAAAACUUUGACAAAUGGGGUGAAGGGGAGAUUUCUCACGCUUGACUCUGAGACAUGGAUUUAAAUGUACACCUGAUGACUCCGUAUCUGUGGAAGAUGUGCUGGUUGCAGUCAGUGAACAGUCAAUGAUUGCUGGAGCUCUGUAAAUAGCAGGUGAGAUUGCAGGCCGGAGUCCCGUCGCUGUCCAGGGAACCAAAGUCAACCUCCCCUACUCCUGAGACCACAGUGUGACAGAGCCUAGACUACAUGGCUACUUGGAACAUGAACAUGUUGCAGACACAGGAUCUUAUGAAGUCAGCGCAGGCAGCCCUGGAAAAGAAGAGUCCGAAAGACGUGCCCUUCUCCAAGCUUUAAAGGAGAAGAUCCAGGGCUGUUGAAGCUGCGGUGGAACUGAGACAUCAUCAUCCACAUAUCUUCAGUUCUUCUUGCUAAGAGAACGAGAAACUCGGACACAACAGUACAUCCUGACCAUUGGUACUGUGUACACAUCAACAUACACACACGUCUCCAUGCUGGACAUCUCAGGAGCUUUCACACAGUGCUAGGAAUAUCCCGGGACAGAGAAACGCACCUUCUAAGUGAGCGAGUUUAGCGUCAACCGGUGAAAUUUGCUGUAGCGUGAACACUUUGCCUCUAAAUGAUCUUUCGAGGCAGCUUCUUCAUCACUACCUGCUCCGUUUGACUCAAAAAUGUAACGACCGGUUUCAAAAAGUCACGAUGUCUUCAGUUCAUGAGAUUUUACUGUUGAAUUUAAACAGGAAAUGUGAAAUAUUUUUUCCCUUUGUUUCCUCUACUGUCUUUUGCUGUGAUCUUGAACACAGUUGUAAUUUUAAAAAAAAAAAAAAAAAAAAAAAUGAUAAUUCUAGUUCUCUC